This 927-nucleotide ribosomal RNA is filed under the name Triticum aestivum (bread wheat). RNAcentral describes it as "partial small subunit ribosomal RNA". The record is from RNAcentral. Lineage: Eukaryota; Viridiplantae; Streptophyta; Magnoliopsida; Poales; Poaceae.
AUGACCACCGCCACGAUUUCGAAGACAAGGAGUGGCAAGCCAGAGUUAAGCGAGGAGCUCUAUCAGGCCGCAAUCUGCAUGGAGGAGAGGAUCCGCGCGCUGCAAUCCGCCGGUUGGAUCGGCAAUGAAGGGGAAUCGAUGGAGAUUGGCGACGGCUGCGAGAUGGAAACGGGAGGGAAGUCAUCAACGGGGUGGAGUAGCGCCGCGUCCCUAGAGCUCGAGGAGCUGCUCCACCGUGCCGCAAUCCUCACCCAGACGAGGGUAGGCGACGGGAACGCAGAAAACGAGGAGCUGCUCGAUCUGGCCGCAACGGAGAGGAUCGUCGGCCAGGCAGGCAACCCACUCUCCUGGGAAUUAAUAAGUGCGAUCAUGCCGGAGUUUGAAGCAAAGGUCGGCGACAUUGCUUCGGUACUUCAGGUAGAAGAGACCCGGAAGGAGGCGGUGGCCGUGCUGAGCUUCGGCUUCAGGCUGCGCUUGUUCUCCGAGCAGAUCGAUGAGCUGCGGCACGAGAUGUGCAACUUUCUGAGAUCGUUCUCGUCAGAAAACAAAAAUAUAAGGAGCACCAUGAUGAAGUUUAUCUCCGAGCCGUACUUAUCCCGUAUCAGCAAAUUGCAGUUGAUCUCUGACAGUAUCAGUAUGCUCCAGCGAAUGGACUCAGACUUCGACUCCAAAGUGAAAUCAACGAUCAUCAAGCUGAAAUCAGAAUCCUUCUUGUCAGCCAUGGAGGACGAGCUCCACAGGGCAGGCCAAGAAGAUUCCGUGGAGAUGGAGGAGAAGAGAUUCGCUGCCUACCAUCUCUACUGGGAGCGUAUAUGGGGCAAGGAUGGUCACAGCUUCGAAAAACAGACGAUAUUGAGCCCCAUGCAAUUUACACAUUGCACAACACGCCGCUUCCCAAUUGAAGCUGUCGCCAGGAACACCUUGUAG